Molecule: ribosomal RNA, 256 nt
Filed under: uncultured bacterium
Lineage: Bacteria
Description: partial 16S ribosomal RNA
Rfam family: Bacterial small subunit ribosomal RNA
Source: RNAcentral
UGGCGGACGGGUGAGUAAUGUCUGGGAAACUGCCUGAUGGAGGGGGAUAACUACUGGAAACGGUAGCUAAUACCGCAUAACGUCGCAAGACCAAAGAGGGGGACCUUCGGGCCUCUUGCCAUCAGAUGUGCCCAGAUGGGAUUAGCUAGUAGGUGGGGUAACGGCCCACCUAGGCGACGAUCCCUAGCUGGUCUGAGAGGAUGACCAGCCACACUGGAACUGAGACACGGUCCAGACUCCUACGGGAGGCAGCAUG